CUGGCGGCAGGCCUAACACAUGCAAGUCGAGCGGUAACAGAAAGUAGCUUGCUACUUUGCUGACGAGCGGCGGACGGGUGAGUAAUGCUUGGGAACAUGCCUUGAGGUGGGGGACAACAGUUGGAAACGACUGCUAAUACCGCAUAAUGUCUACGGACCAAAGGGGGCUUCGGCUCUCGCCUUUAGAUUGGCCCAAGUGGGAUUAGCUAGUUGGUGAGGUAAUGGCUCACCAAGGCAACGAUCCCUAGCUGGUUUGAGAGGAUGAUCAGCCACACUGGAACUGAGACACGGUCCAGACUCCUACGGGAGGCAGCAGUGGGGAAUAUUGCACAAUGGGCGCAAGCCUGAUGCAGCCAUGCCGCGUGUGUGAAGAAGGCCUUCGGGUUGUAAAGCACUUUCAGUCAGGAGGAAAGGUUAGUAGUUAAUACCUGCUAGCUGUGACGUUACUGACAGAAGAAGCACCGGCUAACUCCGUGCCAGCAGCCGCGGUAAUAC
Molecule: ribosomal RNA, 495 nt
Filed under: uncultured marine bacterium
Lineage: Bacteria
Description: bacterial SSU rRNA
Rfam family: Bacterial small subunit ribosomal RNA
Source: RNAcentral